This 467-nucleotide ribosomal RNA is filed under the name uncultured bacterium. RNAcentral describes it as "partial 16S ribosomal RNA". It matches the Rfam family "Bacterial small subunit ribosomal RNA", at positions 28 to 506 of the family's 1533-position model. The record is from RNAcentral.
GACGAACGCUGGCGGCGUGCUUAACGCAUGCAAGUCGAACGGAAAGGCCCUGCUUUUGUGGGGUGCUCGAGUGGCGAACGGGUGAGUAACACGUGAGUAACCUGCCCUUGACUUUGGGAUAACUUCAGGAAACUGGGGCUAAUACCGGAUAGGAGCUCCUGCUGCAUGGUGGGGGUUGGAAAGUUUCGGCGGUUGGGGAUGGACUCGCGGCUUAUCAGCUUGUUGGUGGGGUAGUGGCUUACCAAGGCUUUGACGGGUAGCCGGCCUGAGAGGGUGACCGGCCACAUUGGGACUGAGAUACGGCCCAGACUCCUACGGGAGGCAGCAGUGGGGAAUAUUGCACAAUGGGCGGAAGCCUGAUGCAGCAACGCCGCGUGCGGGAUGACGGCCUUCGGGUUGUAAACCGCUUUCGCCUGUGACGAAGCGUGAGUGACGGUAAUGGGUAAAGAAGCACCGGCUAACUACGU